AAACUUUACAAUGCUGGAAACAGCGAUAGGGGGACCUCGAGUGCCAGGUUACAAAUCUGGCUGUCGCUGUGUCUAAAAAACACAGUAUAGCAAGGGCCGGGCAAGACCGGUGCCAGCCGCCGCGGUAACACCGGCGGCUCGAGUGGUAACCGCUAUUAUUGGGUCUAAAGGGUCUGUAGCCGGCUGAAAAAGUCUCUUGGGAAAUCUGGCAGCUCAACUGUCAGGCUGUCAGGGGAUACUCUUCAGCUCGAGACCGGGAGAGGUGAGAGGUACUUCAUGGGUAGGGGUGAAAUCUUGUAAUCCUUGAAGGACCACCAGUGGCGAAGGCGUCUCACCAGAACGGAUCUGACGGCAAGGGACGAAAGCUAGGGGCACGAACCGG
Molecule: ribosomal RNA, 382 nt
Filed under: uncultured archaeon
Lineage: Archaea
Description: bacterial SSU rRNA
Rfam family: Archaeal small subunit ribosomal RNA
Source: RNAcentral